This 2685-nucleotide long non-coding RNA is filed under the name Malus domestica (apple). RNAcentral's name for it is "long non-coding RNA (MDOM_LNC010852)". Lineage: Eukaryota; Viridiplantae; Streptophyta; Magnoliopsida; Rosales; Rosaceae. The record is from RNAcentral.
UGUAGAGUCUGUACAAAAGGAGCCCAGCUCCCAGAAAUGAAUCAGAUCAGUUUUUGCAAAAGAAAUCAAAUACAAAAAUAUUAAGCUCUGCUCUUCUCUCUUCCUUCCUUCCCUCUUCUUCUAUGUGCACUAGUUAAGGUUGAGUUAGGGUUGACAUUUGGGUCUUCACACACCUUUCCUCUCACUCCUCGCUCGAGUUCUUCAGGUGCGAAUAUAUCUUUCUUUUGAGGCAAUUAAUGAUUAUUGAGCAUAAAUCAUGUUUCUUUCCAUCUCCAUUGCCCAGUUUCUUGUAAUUUUGAUUACCCAUUUGGUUGAAUUGUGGAUUGGAUAAGCUUGAAAUGACAGACAAGAAGAAGGUUGGAUAAGUUGAAUGUGUGAUGGUUUUAAUCAUUUAUUUAUUUAUGUAUUACAUGGAUUAAACUAGACGUAGUUGAAGUGCCAAGAGUUAUUUAACUUGGUUCCGUUCAACAACCAUUUUGCUUUUAGUUUUUUUGUUACUUUUUGGUCCUUGAGAUGAAGGAAAGUAUACGGGGGAAAGGAGGGAUGAAGAAUCGUGGUAAGAGGGAAGAAGAAACAAUGAAGAAUGAAUGAAAAUGAAAUCUUGAGAGUGAAAUUAACUUAUUUUUGUAUCUGAUGAUCUGCUAUGUAAUUACUGGAUUACUUUCCUUGAUACAACUUGAAUAUGCCAUUUGGCUCAAGCUAUAAAGGGAGAAUUUGAUGAUAUGCUUAAAGGAGUGGCAAACAAAAGUUUUUAUUGAAGUAAAGCGUGUUCUUGAGAUGGUACUUCAAAACUUGUAUUAACUUUUCUCAAUUUAACCCAUCCCUUUAUAGAGAAUUAUGAAGUUCAUAUUUUUGGACCAUUUGAAAUAAUUUAUCACGUAAAACUGACACAUGAAUGUAAGGUCACAUCGAAUAGGUUUCGCCUUAUUUGUUCGUGGAAGAAGAUGAAGAGAUGAGAUGUUUCCAAGUUGUCAUUCUUGGUUUUCCAUUUGUUGUAGGCUAGACCCGCAUCAUAGAGAAGGGUGGUUCUCCAUACAAAUUUUCUCACCCCUCCAGUGGUGAAGGAGUCAAUGCAAGCUGAUCCGAAAGCAGUUGUUCAAGCUGAUCCGAAAGCAAGUUGAGAUUUGGGUCUUAACACACCUUUCCUCUCACUCCUCGCUCGAGUUCUUCAGAUGCGAACAUAUCUUCCUUUUGGGCAAUUGAUUAUUGAGCAUAAAGCAUCUUGGAAACUGUGAACACGGUACAAAGUUUUUUUCUUAUCUGUGCAGUGAUGGUGAUGUGCGUGUGAACUGAACCCCUGUUACUAAAAAUGUUGACGAAAAAUUAGAGUACACAACUCUAACACAAGUGUUGGAAAGACAACACAAGUAAACAAAUUACUUGUAUUAUACAUACAAAAUAUUACAACAUACAAACUCUCGAGAACACUCUUUAGAAGCUAUGACACUCUUUCUAGAGACAAACUCUAGACCACUCACACUCCUACAAGACUACUCUUACUUCUCACUCUCCCUUGAUUGCCUACUUCUUCUUCGUUUAUUAUUGAUACAAAUGGUGUGGAUGCCUUCUCCUUUUAUUGGUAUGGAUGAAACCUUGGAGAAGCAUAGAAACAUCAUGCUAGAGAUAUCUAGAUAAUUCUACUACCUUCCUAAGCUAUAAUUAUCUACACUAAUCUUGCAUGUUGGUGGAAUCCUCACCAUUCUUCUAGACUCUUCCUCCAACUUGAACUUUGCAAGAAUUAUCUAGCAUGUGCAUGAAUUUUUCUUUAUGCAUAGGCUGGAUCCCAUGUCUUUGGGCUCUUUGGGCCAGUGUUGUGCUUUUAACAAAAAAUUGAGCUACACUCAAGGCUGGUGAUAUUGUGUUGGUUAGAGGAAAAGGAAGACUAAGGGGGAGUUUCCAUAUUUAAGAAAACUACUUAUUUUAUUUUUUUUAUCAAAUUACUAUAAACACCAUACAUGAGACACAUUGGUAAUUCCUGUACAGUUCCUGAUACCUUUCCAGUAUUUUUGUAAGUAGAACAAUUGGAUCUGGAAUCGUAUUCCAUUCUUAUAUGUUAGAGCAGUAUAUAACUGUAUUGUUAAGUUGCAAGCACUUAUUACACGUUUGUUAAAGAGUUUGAGUAUCAGUAUAACCAUCUCUUGUAUUUAUAUUCAUGUCUAACUCUUAAUAUGUCAUUUGCAUGGCAUUUCUGAUGCUCAAAUUUACAUUGGUUCAAAUAGGAGAAAUUAACCCUACGAAGAAGGGGAAACUUGCAGUUGAGCUCAUUCUUUAUUGAAAAUUUUCUGAACGGGGAACAAUCUAACAUCACCAUUCAUGGGAUCUGAACGAGUCUUGAGGUGGCAUUUUUGUAGCCCAAAAGCUAGAGGUUUUCUUCUAAAAAGCAAGCAUACAUUGCUUCGAAGUUUGACUUGCUUUUGUAAGUUCAACGUUGUACAUUUUUCAUUUCCUUACAUUGUUUGAAAUUAGAAUUGUACAUUCUUUGUUGUAUUAUCUAUAUAAUUAUUUUUUGAACAAAUUCUAUUCAAUUAUUAAGAGAUCCUAAUUUGUCGACUAUCGGCUGUGAAAUCCCAAGUGGGCUGAGAAAAAAGUGUGAAAAAUAAUGGGUAAAAAGAAAUUAUGCUGAUAAAAUUACACCAAAUGCAACUUACGUAGACGGGUUCUUUCAUUUUCUUCAUAAUUAAGUAU